Molecule: small RNA, 132 nt
Filed under: Klebsiella pneumoniae
Lineage: Bacteria; Pseudomonadati; Pseudomonadota; Gammaproteobacteria; Enterobacterales; Enterobacteriaceae
Description: partial RtT sRNA
Rfam family: RtT RNA
About the family: This family represents a bacterial cis-regulatory element known as RtT RNA.
Source: RNAcentral
GGUCGCAGGUUCGAAUCCUGCACGACCCACCAAUUUCAGCAUUUAACUCAGAUGCUGAACGUGAAGGAUAACGUUGCGUCAGCAACGGCCCGAAGGGCGAGGCAAAGCCGAGUCAUCCUGCACGACCUACCA